UAGGGCCUGUUUUCUUCCACCUUGCUAAACUUUAGAUGCUAAAAGUUGCUAAACUUUAGUUGCUAAACUUUAGCAAAGCUGUUUGGAUACUCUUGCUAAAAGGCAUUUAAUGAGCUGUAAAAGGACCUAUCUACCCUUAUUAAAGGUGAGCAGGAGGGGGGAGACAAGCAAUAAAUGAGGGGUAUAUGUUGUCCAGCCCACCUUUUAGCAAGUUUUAGCAACCAAAAACUUGCUAAAGUGCUAAACUUUAGCAACUCAACUUUAGCAAGUUUUAGCAAGAGUGUUUUGCAGUUUAGCAGCUCAAAGUUGCUAAACUUUAGCAUCUAAAGUUUAGCAAGGUGGAAGAAAACAGGCCCUUAAU
RNAcentral lists this long non-coding RNA (361 nucleotides) under Setaria italica (foxtail millet). RNAcentral describes it as "long non-coding RNA (SITA_LNC002590)". Lineage: Eukaryota; Viridiplantae; Streptophyta; Magnoliopsida; Poales; Poaceae. The record is from RNAcentral.